RNAcentral lists this ribosomal RNA (468 nucleotides) under uncultured bacterium. RNAcentral's name for it is "partial 16S ribosomal RNA". It matches the Rfam family "Bacterial small subunit ribosomal RNA", at positions 28 to 507 of the family's 1533-position model. The record is from RNAcentral.
GACGAACGCUGGCGGCGUGCUUAACGCAUGCAAGUCGAACGGAAAGGCCCUGCUUUUGUGGGGUGCUCGAGUGGCGAACGGGUGAGUAACACGUGAGUAACCUGCCCUUGACUUUGGGAUAACUUCAGGAAACUGGGGCUAAUACCGGAUAGGAGCUCCUGCUGCAUGGUGGGGGUUGGAAAGUUUCGGCGGUUGGGGAUGGACUCGCGGCUUAUCAGCUUGUUGGUGGGGUAGUGGCUUACCAAGGCUUUGACGGGUAGCCGGCCUGAGAGGGUGACCGGCCACAUUGGGACUGAGAUACGGCCCAGACUCCUACGGGAGGCAGCAGUGGGGAAUAUUGCACAAUGGGCGGAAGCCUGAUGCAGCAACGCCGCGUGCGGGAUGACGGCCUUCGGGUUGUAAACCGCUUUCGCCUGUGACGAAGCGCGAGUGACGGUAAUGGGUAAAGAAGCACCGGCUAACUACGUG